CUCGCCCCGCGCUCGGCUGCCCAGGCCUCGCAGCCCGGGUGAGGCGCGGGGGAGCCCGCGGGGGAGCAGGGCAGGGGAAAGGAGCUGGCCCUAAAUUUGGCAGCGACAGCGAACUGUGCGAGCCGAGGCUCGCAGUAAUCCCCGGGCAGCUGCGCUAGCGAGAGCUACGCGUGCUCGUAGCUCGUGCUGUGGGCUUGUUUGUGGAAUCAUUAUCCCUUACAACCGCAAAUAAUUGCUUAAGUACAGAAGGAGCCCACAACAUAUAUUAGCAACACGGAUCGACACCGUAAAGGUGUAUCCUUUUUACUAUUAAACUUACGAAUAUGGUGAAGUUAUUUAAGAUUGUUUUUAAACAUCAACUAGCCAAGAAAAGUAUCACAGCUCUUUUAAGAUUACCCAAGAAUGUUGCGUUAUCUCCGAGCCAGAAGAUGCAGUUUAGGUGUGAAGUACCGUGCCUAACACACGAAGAUGGAGCUCACUGUGCAUCACAGGACGGAAUACUACCGUCAUCGCAUCCCUUUUUGACCAACAAGUGAUAAGACCUGGCUAUGCAGUAACCACUGCAACAGGAGGUACAAGCCCCGCAGGACUCUUAAUCUUCAUCCCACCACGUGGACUCUAAAGCUGUCAAGUGCAAAACGCAGCCCCUUUACAUAUCGGAAGGACUCUAGACUGUCCACAGAGCCUCCUCCUCUCCAGGCUGAAGAACCACAAGUCACCUAUCCUGUCUUCAAUUAAUGGCACUGUUUGAUAAGAUCCUCCCACAGAGCAACUGAAAUCUCUGCUUCUAAAUACUUCAAGUCAGUGCUAGGACUCCACAGUAAAAGAUUUUCUCUGGUGUUCUCAAAUGGAAAAUUGGUUCCACUCCUUCUUCUCAAAGUACAUAAUGCUGUAGAUGUCAAUGUGCCAUCUCCCUGCUUCCCACCAUCACUCUCCACCAGAAGCAACAACUGCACUAUUGGUCAGUGUACAGAUAAUAGUUUUCACCCUCUGUAAGAUGACCCAAGUAGCAAAUAUUUUUUCACUCAAUGUAAAGUCUUGUUUACAAAGAACACCAAGGUCCCAAUCUCAAUGAAGCACAGUCUAUCCAUAGGUAUAUUGCACUGUGAACUCCAAAAAAGCAGAGCAAAACAAGAUACCACAGUAGCCCACCUUCUAAAAUACAACAUAUCCAUUGCAAAGAUUGAAUAUAUAUUUUUUUUAAAUCUUAGUGCAAAAUUAAAACACCAAUAUGAGGAGAGAAACUCAAGUUUUCAGCAAGAACACAAAGAGUAAUAAAAAAAAAAAUGGGGGGAAAAUGAAAAGAAACUGCACAUCCAAGUAUGACAAAGAAGUGGAUAUACAAAAUACUUCCUACAUCCUAUAUCUUAGGGAGAGAUAACAUUUCUCACACUUUAAGCAAGAUUUGUAGAAUGCAUCAAUUUAAGAAUGGCUUACUGAAAGGCAUCCCUUGUUCCCAGCCAUGCUUAGUCCUUCCUUUCCACCAUUCAGCAUUACAAGUUGCCUAGUGCCAAUACAAAAGCCUCCUACCAAGCCCCAUUGUCCGUCCUCAAGCAGUUGGAAAUCUGACCUAUAUAGCACCUGACCCCAAAGAAUGUCAGUUUCCAGAAAUUCCCCCUCACUUGCUAACAGACCAACUAGUUAAUGAGUAGUUUACUACACUAGCAGUGUAAAAUUAGUGCUUUAAGUAUAUAAUUUACAAAUGCAACUAAAUACCCUUCAAAAGAUGAGAGGCAAAAAAAAAAAGUAAAAACACUGGACUGCUUUGUGUCCUCCUCUAGUAAUUUAACCAUUGCAUAACAAAUAAGACAACACAAAGAAACAUGGGUAAUUCCUGUGCUUAGAAGCCACUGGUUAAGAUAUAAAACAGCAGCAAUCUCUAAGGAUGCUCAAAGAAACCUGUAGGCUUUACCACACCAUUCACACUUCCAUACCCACCUUCACUGCACAUGUAGAACCUAGGAACUGCCAUACUGAGGAACUUAAUUUCCCAUCUUAGUAUUCAGUAAGGAACUGUGUAGUGCAUCAUAUUUAUAAUAUGCUGACAACAGCAGCUCUUUAUCCCUGGAGCCUUCAGACAAUUGUCCAACCUAUGCCCUGACAGAUGUGGUAUUACAAGACAAUGCAAUAUAAUUAUAUUGUCCAAUACAUAAGUUCCUCCCAAAUACACAACAAAAAUCUAUAGCUUAAGUUACAUUUACAGCCCCAGUGAUGUCCUAUACAGAAUUUAGGAAUUCAAAACUCCAGCCACCUGAGCAACAGUGGGGCUCACACCUCAUACACCCAUCUUCACCUCCUUUAAAACAAAUAAGAUACAGCAUGAAAUCUCAAGAUACCAUAAAAGCCAGUUGUUUCAGAAUUGAACUCCCCCAAAACUGUUCUUUCAUGAUGCACUCAUUAUAGGUAUAUAAGCUCUUACCAUAUUAAGGAAAAACACUCCACAAAAUAAGAAACUGUGUUCCUUUCCUUUAUUAUGAAGUACCAAUACCUUGCAUACAACAUGCAAUUUAUUGCUUAUUGACAUUAUUGCAUAUAUCAAAGGGAAAAAAAAUCAGCCAAUAUCAUUUUAUGCAAGCUCCUAAACUGUUCAAACAAAAUACAGAAAUGCUUUACAAUAUCACUGAAAUGCUAACAAAUAAUUCAGAUUCUUUCUUAUAAUAAAAAGUAAAUUUAAACCCAUAAUACUUAAUAAUUCACUUUAUUAUGAUGGUUACUUUUAUCACCAAUCUUCAGAAUUGUUAUAUUGCAUUUUUAAGUUCUUGUGCCAUGAUAAGGAUUGCUACUACAACCAGGUCACAUUACUAGUUGAAUUUAAUAAUGUGAUCCUGACAUUUUGUGACAGUAUUAGAAUUUACUGCAAACCAGAUUGUCAAGAUUUACAGGAAAUCAAUCUAGCAGAAUCUAGUUUUCAUCCUUGCUCUGCACAUUAAGUUAGAUAAACUCAUCAAGUUUCUUCUUAGCUAGAAGAUUAUACAAACAUUUUCAAAUUACAGGCUUCAUUACUUAUGCCUAACUUGUAACUCGUUUCUUCCAAACAGGUUUUCUAAUUUGAUUUUAUAGCAGGUUAGCUGUGCUUAUUUUACAUAAAUGGUAUCUGUCAAUAUUGAAGAAAACACUGUUUGAUAAAUGCAUGCUAGAAACAAAUCCAGGACAUUUGGAUGUGUGCAUAUUAAGUGUGCAAAUUAUAUAGCCGAGCUCAUGAUUAGCCCUUUUCCUCCCUUCCCCCUAUGAUUUGAUAGAUUUUUCUCAUGAAACUGGAAUAGGAUUACUAUAAACAAAACCACAUUGCAUUCAAAAUUUUGUAUUCUGUAUUACAGCUUAGUACUCAUAUUUAAAUGUUGCUUUCAAACCUAGCAAAUUUUUAAAAAUACCAAAAUUUAAAAACUUAGAAGACCGUUUACAUGCAAUAUGUUCCAUUUGGGUGCAGAUUCUCAUAUACUUAAAUAUUUAUAGGCUCAUAAAAGCAUGUCCUGUCCACAAGACAAGUACAAUGUUUGACAUCCCACACAUAGAUUAAAAAUAAAAAUACAAUACAGAAUAUUUUAUUUGCUUUUAUAUUUUCAAUUUCAGUAAGUAGGAAGUUAUAAAUAGCACACUGAAUCAUUAUAAGGUUGAUACCAAGCCAUGCUGAUCUCUUCAUACUUCACUCUCUUAAAGACACUUCUUUUGCUUACAACUGUGUUAAAAAUGUAUUUACUUCGUAUUAAACAGAUGCCCUCUCAGUGAAGGACAUCACACAAUGAAACUUCUCGGAAAAAAAUUGCCAAAAUAUUUCUUAUACCAAACAAUACUAUUUAUUCUUCAUAGCUACCUUCCAUUCUUUACUGAGCAAUAAAGUGCUUGGUUAUUAUAAAUAGAGCAAGACUUUCAAAGGAGGUAGCUAGCAGAAUUUUUUAAUGGGUAAGAAACCUUACCAAGUGUUACCAUCUAAAAGUAUGACUUGAUGCUUUAUCCCAGGCAGCACAUAUUUCAUCUUCUCUGCCAUAAAAACAACUUUCAAGUUGCUUUCAGAAAAGCCUAAGAACUUCACCUGUCUAACACAGAUUUUAUCCAGGUUUGGGUGAAUGCUAGAAGUUCAUAAAUAUUAUCACUAUUUCUAUCUGACUGCUGUCAAUCAGGGUAUCAGCAAUGAAGUACUGUUCUUUUUCUGCCUUUAUUCCAUAGACAGAGAAAGCUGACCAGGAACAAGCUUUCCCUUGUGGAGUUUCUUGUAGCCAGAUAACGCUGUUGUACAGUAGGCUAUUAAAAAUAUGAAAGGGGCUUACAAUACUUUUCAAAGUCUUCUACACUUGCAUUUUUUCAUCUGAAAAUUCUAGUCCCUUUCUAUUUGCUUUGUUGAUGGCCUUUAGCAGCAGCAGCCAACACCACACCAGACCCUAAGCUGGAGUAAUUGUCAAGCAGCCCUUUAUUUUCCUCUGAAUGGCUCAGCAGAAGCAUCACAAAACAAUUUUUCAAACUUUUCUAUUAAAUAGUCCUUUAAAGAAAGCUUGGACAUACAUAUGCUUAAACACACACAAGGCCAUGAGAAAAUAUCCUCUUCAUACAGUAAUCAACAACUGGUAUUCCAUUUUAUACAGCUUGAAAAUUUUAAAAAAUAAAAUUUCAUCUUCCAUCGUGAACAGCCACAAACACCUAAACCUUUCUGCUACGUGUCAGUCUGCUGUUGUCCCAACCACAGCAGUAGGAAGACAUCUGGAUCUCAGUGUGUACUCAAAGUCUCCUCCUCUCCUCUUUAAAUCUGCCUGAAUGCAUCUGCUCACUUGUGUAAGCUUUUACUCUUAGGUUGUUAGUUCUGCACAUCUUCUCCCAUAGUUUUUUAAGUAAAGAUGGAACUCAUUCUCUUUCAAACACUGUAACUAAUUUGACUUUUAAUAAACUUUAGUACAAAAUUUGGAAUUAUUAAGGUUUUAUAUAUAAAGUCAGCUCCCCUCAUUUUCCUAUGCAAAUAUUUCAUUAUUCAACAGAUUAUAUUUUUAAGUAAUUAUGUUAUGAAAUUAUGGAGCUCACUCAAGAAAGAUAGCAUGUAUUUAUAGAGGUAGAGUAGGCUUCAGAGAUGUAAUUCUUACCACUGAAGAAUUCACACAGAUAACCCAUGCAGCAUCCCUGCUGUGUGAGACUCUCCACUGAAAUCCACUGAAACACUCUCUGACAAAAUGAGUAUUUGAAGUAAACUUCCUCUCUGCAAGUACUGAUUCCACAAAUCAGUUACAGAACACCUGACCUACCAUUCUCCUGUAGAGUUCUGAAAGUGGUAUUUACUCAUCUUUUGAUGAAAAAUUAAAGCCAUAAAAAAGGGAAACUUGCAUUUCUACAUACACCCUAACUGGUACAAAUAGUCUCUCCCAUGAUCAGCAAGUUAAUUUUAUGUCACCUGGUACUGAAGGAUAGAAAAGAAAAACAAGUUAUUUUUUACAAGAGUCACCCCUUCCAUUUGAUAUGCCCACAGAAAAGACACCAGGUGACAUGCCAAAAGUCUGCUUUCACAAUGCAUCUGUUAAAAAUAGAAGUUUUAAGCCACUAAUAAGAUAUUACAUUCAAAAGCAUUUGUUAUGAUGCUAAUUAUCAUGCAUUUACUUUUUUUUCAUAAAAAAGCAAAGACACAAGCUUACAACAUUAAAUUUUAUCAAUAUUUCACCACAUUUUAAAAAUUAAUAAAGUGCAAUUAAAAAUGGGUGUCACAGGUAUCUAAUUUGCUGUAUUAUAAGCUUUUAAUGGCAGAUAUAAAGUGCCCUAUAUACUAUUGUAUUCAGUAUGUCACAACUUUGCCACCUGUUUACUAAAGUCUUUGAUGAAACCACAGCUGUUAAUAGUUUUUUACAUAAGAAAAAGUUCUUCUGAUUCAUCAGGAUACAAUUGUAAUAACUUUUUUUAAAAAAUUAUAAAAUUUAAAGCUAAUGCAUUGCAAAAUAAGUUUUUAAUUACACUAAUUUUGUACAGCAAUCCAAAAUACCAGCUGUUCUAAAAGAAUUAUCCCAUUGCCCUUCAAUCCUGGGCUGUUGGCCAAAGUGUAGUAACAAGAGUUUGGGGUUGUUUUUUGUUUCUAAAUCUAGUUUCAUCAUCAACUGUAUUAUAGCUUGACUUACUUUUUUUUCUCCCUUAUCAAACAGAAGUCUAUCUAGAAGUGGAAGAAGAAGACCAUUUUAAUGAAUGGUGAAUUUAAUGAACAAAAUAUUUCAAACACUGAAAUAUUAAAAUCGAUGUAAGAAAUUGUAAAUUUCAGAAACUUUUCAUGAAUUAUCAACCUAUGAGUUGCUCCAAAUUGUCUUCUCAAUUUUUUCAUCCUACUUCCCUAAAAGGAAAGGCAGACUUCUAUUUUCAAGCAUACUUCUCCAAAAUGUUUGAAUUUACUUAAUUUUAUAAAGGAACAAGCUUUUACAAAACUAUUAAUCACAGGGAUCUAGUGAUUUAAAAAGCAAAGAGUAUUUCAUAUACACCUUUAAAUCAUAAAGGUGGUAGAAACAGCCUUUUUACAAUUUUGCAUUAGGUACACUGAAAACACAUUUUAAAAGAUGCCAGGUUCUGCAAAUUAGCAUAAAAGAGAGUUGCUUUGAGCAAAACAGGUCACAGGACUGACUCUCAAAGACUGGAUUUACUGGUGCCCAAUAAGGCACUGUGCUCAUUCAGAUCAUACAGCUCAACAGGUAACAGCUAACUCUCUCAAGGCAUGAACACAUCUUUUGUCCAUAGGUCUGUGAUGAA
This is a non-coding RNA of Cyanistes caeruleus (blue tit), 6699 nucleotides long. The record is from RefSeq and is a predicted model, not a curated record. Lineage: Eukaryota; Metazoa; Chordata; Aves; Passeriformes; Paridae.